GAUGAGCGCUGGCGGCGUGCCUAAUACAUGCAAGUCGAGCGAACAGACGAGGAGCUUGCUCCUCUGACGUUAGCGGCGGACGGGUGAGUAACACGUGGAUAACCUACCUAUAAGACUGGGAUAACUUCGGGAAACCGGAGCUAAUACCGGAUAAUAUAUUGAACCGCAUGGUUCAAUAGUGAAAGACGGUUUUGCUGUCACUUAUAGAUGGAUCCGCGCCGCAUUAGCUAGUUGGUAAGGUAACGGCUUACCAAGGCAACGAUGCGUAGCCGACCUGAGAGGGUGAUCGGCCACACUGGAACUGGACCACGGUCCAUGCUCCUACGGGAGGCAGCAGUAGGGAAUCUUCCGCAAUGGGCGAAAGCCUGACGGAGCAACGCCGCGUGAGUGAUGAAGGUCUUCGGAUCGUAAAACUCUGUUAUUAGGGAAGAACAAAUGUGUAAGUAACUAUGCACGUCUUGACGGUACCUAAUCAGAAAGCCACGGCUAACUACGUG
RNAcentral lists this ribosomal RNA (497 nucleotides) under uncultured bacterium. RNAcentral's name for it is "partial 16S ribosomal RNA". It matches the Rfam family "Bacterial small subunit ribosomal RNA", at positions 28 to 507 of the family's 1533-position model. The record is from RNAcentral.